AACAUCCAAUUGUUUUUGGGUAGCUCAAAUUUUACAUAACCUGUGUUUCAGAUCCUAGAGAACUUUGUCCAUUCCAUUGUGGAAUGCCGCUGCUGCCAAAUGCUACGACUGUUUGUAUGGAAAUCAGCCUCCCUGCAGGACAAUUAACCUUUUGACCUCUUCUAAAGGUGCACCAGUAUUCUUGCACGUUGAAUAGAGCUCACAGGAGUGAAAUGAUAAUUAUCAUAUCGCAGCUGGAAGGACUACUGGCUUUUCAGAAUAAAAAUAGUUGGAGAAUGCUUAACCUUUGCUUUUAAGAGCGGAAUACGAUAGCCUGAUCAGGCCUAUGUCUUACAAACGUAGAAUCUCCUGAAAAAUCUGUGCUACCAGCAAAGCCAUGGCUGAAAGCACAGGGUACUGAACCAAAUGGCGUGUGGCAGCAAUGAAAUGCACCUGCCACUGGUUGUAUCUGUGACCCAGGCUGGUCUCGAUUCCAACGUGAACCCUGACCCUUUAUUCUUUGCACCCACUGGUAUUUGUCGCUUACAAACAACACCAUCCACAGCGGAUUUUCUGCCACUAUUUAGACAAGAGCACCUGAGCCAACACUUUUCUUUGAGUGUAAAGAUGCAAGCAGCGUGCUGUCUACUGAAGAAUUUUCCUGUGGAAAAGGAAAAGCAAAGACAGCAAUAGAAGAACAAUGGGACUGUGACUUGCCAUCCUCCAAGGCUGCUGGACAGCUGGAAUGCCUCUCUUCUGCAUAGAAAAAACAAGGCAUGCCACCUGAAAAUCAUUUGUUUUGUUUUAAAAGAAGAAUGCAGAUCUUUUUCGUUUGCUUUGCAUAUUUCUAUGUGACUACGCAAUGCUCGGAUGUGUGCAACCUAUCCACAUAGGCGUAACAGAAAUUGUCUAUGCAGGAAACAUAAAGUGAUAGGUACACGCUAGAGAAUGUUCACAGUUGUAGGCUUAACAUGUCACUCGAGAAAAGUGUGACAGCCAAACUUCAAUGGAGAUUUAAUAUUCGUGACAUUUCCACGAAGAAAAAUAUACUUGUAAUGCAGUGAAGCUUUCUUCUAGAACAGCUUUUCAGCAUGCAUUAUACUUUACGCUUAAAUACCAAACAUGAAGAAACCAACAUUCCUAUCGUCACCGCAAGUUACCUGUUGUGAGCACAUCAAGGUUCUCUUCCAGUUUUGCAAUAUUCAACACACCUGGUGCACAAGCAAUGAUACUAGUGUAAGUAAAGGUGCCACUAGCAGCAGAAGUGCACGGUCUCUGAUGUUCAAAGCGGUAUGCCAAACUAGGAACAGCUAUGAACAACCUAAGCUCCAUGUAUCACGUAAUUAUCAGUACGAAAAAAUUAUUCUCAAAUUGCUCGUUUCUUUGUUAGACACAACCAAAUACAUUUGUAUUUCAGUCUAUUUCUUCCUGUUCUUAACACAUGAGAUAUGCCAUUUUUAUUCCCCACACCUGAGCAAGUUCUAUGUCAAAGUCAACAGCUUUCUUUGCAUCUUUCACGCGUUUUCAUGGUUGGUCGUUGGACUUUUGCCGCCAAUACAAAUCAACAGCAACAUUAGCAACAAGGCAACAGUUUAAUAAGUGACUGCAGAAACGAAUACAUAGUAAAGACAACGAAAUAAAAACAAGGCAUCCGUUAAUUAGAAUUUAUUAGUAGGUUCCUACAUUGGUAGACGCAGUUACCUUUCACAUUCUAGUGCAAAUGUAAAGGCAAAAUAAAACAA
This is a long non-coding RNA of Rhipicephalus sanguineus (brown dog tick), 1721 nucleotides long. RefSeq lists it as uncharacterized. Lineage: Eukaryota; Metazoa; Arthropoda; Arachnida; Ixodida; Ixodidae. The record is from RefSeq and is a predicted model, not a curated record. The transcript is spliced from 3 exons.